This 370-nucleotide ribosomal RNA is filed under the name uncultured Providencia sp. RNAcentral describes it as "bacterial SSU rRNA". It matches the Rfam family "Bacterial small subunit ribosomal RNA", at positions 527 to 896 of the family's 1533-position model. Lineage: Bacteria; Pseudomonadati; Pseudomonadota; Gammaproteobacteria; Enterobacterales; Morganellaceae. The record is from RNAcentral.
GGAGGGUGCAAGCGUUAAUCGGAAUUACUGGGCGUAAAGCGCACGCAGGCGGUUGAUUAAGUUAGAUGUGAAAUCCCCGGGCUUAACCUGGGAAUGGCAUCUAAGACUGGUCAGCUAGAGUCUUGUAGAGGGGGGUAGAAUUCCAUGUGUAGCGGUGAAAUGCGUAGAGAUGUGGAGGAAUACCGGUGGCGAAGGCGGCCCCCUGGACAAAGACUGACGCUCAGGUGCGAAAGCGUGGGGAGCAAACAGGAUUAGAUACCCUGGUAGUCCACGCUGUAAACGAUGUCGAUUUGAAGGUUGUUCCCUUGAGGAGUGGCUUUCGGAGCUAACGCGUUAAAUCGACCGCCUGGGGAGUACGGCCGCAAGGUUA